This 784-nucleotide long non-coding RNA is filed under the name Brassica napus (rape). RNAcentral's name for it is "long non-coding RNA (BNAP_LNC019458)". The record is from RNAcentral. Lineage: Eukaryota; Viridiplantae; Streptophyta; Magnoliopsida; Brassicales; Brassicaceae.
AUAUGGUAAAAUCGGGAACACCUAGAACUGUGUUCGAGACAUGAGGCUGUGGCCAAAGGAAGAGUAAAUCUUUUAGUUCUCAAGCUUAGCGAGCUCCGCUUCUUCCCUUCCACCAAACGGUGGUCAAGAUAUUUAUGGUUCCUUUGUUGGUUUUGCUCCACUCGAUAGAUUUCCGUCUUAAAAUGAGACAUCGUUCGGUAGCAAAUAUGUAACGUGUUUGGGGCUCCUGGUGUAUUUAGUCAUUUUGCACAGUCCAAGCAUGCUCGUGAUAUUGUGAUAUGGUCUCGUCAAGAUUCUUCCUCACUUCUGAUCAUUUAUUAAUCAAGGAUUCAUGCUCAACGCGUAGCGAAGUCGUUUUCUUUGUUUUAUUCUGCGCCAUCCAAGACAAUACCGACAACUUCUUGCUUCUGUGAUCUGUUAAUCAGGACAUUUUACAUUCUUCUGCCUCGGCAUAGGUAUUCGUUUGAGUGCAUUAACUCGGUUAGCAAACUUUUCUCAUGUUGGACGAUCAUUUGACCGGACCCAAACUCGGGAGGUCGGGCUAUCAGAACUCUGUCUGCUAUGGUUUGAGAACGUUAUCGGUGAAACUCGGCGAGAUGAAUUAUUUUUAUCAGCAACGGAGAUUCAAUUUAGCUGAGGUCGGGAUCGAAUCUCAUGUUCCGUUUCUUUUUUAUGAUCCAUUAAGAUUGAUGCCAUCGUGGUGUGAUGGUUCGUUCAUUGUGGUAUUGGACACCAUAUGAGAUGAAUCCAUUUUCGUGCUAACAAGCCUUAGAUCGGGUUCCUA